AAUUCUAAAUAUUUCAAACUUUUUCAUUACUUUUUCAUUAUUAUCAUAUUUGUUAUGGUCAUCUGUGAUCAGUAGUCUUUGGUGUUACUACUGUGACUCGCUGAAGGCUCAGAUGAUGGUUAGCAUUUCUCAGCAAUGAGGUAUUUUUAAAUUGAGAUAUUUAAAUACAAUACAAAGGUAUACACAUUGUAUUUUGGACAUAAUGCUAUUGCAUGCUUAAUAGACUACAAUAUACUGUAAACAUAACGUUUUUAUGCACUUGGAAACCAAAAUAUUUGUGUGACUCACUUCAUUGUGAUAUUCCUUUUAUUGCAGUGGUUUGGAACUGAACCUGCAAUAUCUCCGAGGUCUGCCUGUAUAACCAUCAGUAUCUGGUUUUAAAAUGAGCAAGACAUUUGAAUAGGCAUUUCAUGGAAAACUGAAUGGCCAAUAAAUGCACAAAAAAGUAAAAAAAAAAAAUAGCCCACAUUGCCUUUACCAGAUUGUUAAUAGAAAUAUGACAUUAAAGGUCAUUCUCAUGAGGUCUCAGAUAGGUACAAGGAACAUGUUACUGGAAACUGUAGGAAAGGUGAUACUUGUCACAAAGUGGUAAAGACAUUUUGGUGAGGAUGUGGAGAAACUGGAACACUUGGGCACUGUUGGUGUGAAUUUAAAAUGGUGCAGCUGCUAUGAAAAAGAGUAUGGCUGUUCUCAAAAAAUUAAAAAUAUAUUUACCAUAAGAUCCAACAAUUCCAAUUCUAGAUAUCUACCCAGUAGAGUUGAAAGCAGGGUCUCAAAGAUAUAUUUGCACACCCAUGUUCAUUGCAGCACUAUUCACAAUAGCCAAAAGGUGGA
Molecule: long non-coding RNA, 834 nt
Organism: Aethalodelphis obliquidens (Pacific white-sided dolphin)
Lineage: Eukaryota; Metazoa; Chordata; Mammalia; Artiodactyla; Delphinidae
Exons: 4
Source: RefSeq, a predicted model, not a curated record